AGUGAACGCUGGCGGUAGGCCUAACACAUGCAAGUCGAACGGCAGCACAGGAGAGCUUGCUCUCUGGGUGGCGAGUGGCGGACGGGUGAGGAAUACAUCGGAAUCUACUCUGUCGUGGGGGAUAACGUAGGGAAACUUACGCUAAUACCGCAUACGACCUACGGGUGAAAGCAGGGGACCUUCGGGCCUUGCGCGAUUGAAUGAGCCGAUGUCGGAUUAGCUAGUUGGCGGGGUUAAGGCCCACCAAGGCGACGAUCCGUAGCUGGUCUGAGAGGAUGAUCAGCCAAACUGGAACUGAGACACGGUCCAGACUCCUACGGGAGGCAGCAGUGGGGAAUAUUGGACAAUGGGCGCAAGCCUGAUCCAGCCAUACCGCGUGGGUGAAGAAGGCCUUCGGGUUGUAAAGCCCUUUUGUUGGGAAAGAAAUCCAGCUGGCUAAUACCCGGUUGGGAUGACGGUACCCAAAGAAUAAGCACCGGCUAACUUCGUGCCAGCCGCCGCCGUAA
This 506-nucleotide ribosomal RNA is filed under the name uncultured bacterium. RNAcentral describes it as "partial 16S ribosomal RNA". It matches the Rfam family "Bacterial small subunit ribosomal RNA", at positions 29 to 523 of the family's 1533-position model. The record is from RNAcentral.